GUCGGGGUGGCGGAAUAGGCAGACGCGCACGUUUGAGGGGCGUGUGGUAAAUACCGUGGGGGUUCAAGUCCCCCUCCCGACACCA
RNAcentral lists this transfer RNA (85 nucleotides) under Bacillota bacterium. RNAcentral's name for it is "tRNA-Leu". It matches the Rfam family "tRNA". Rfam says of the family: Transfer RNA (tRNA) molecules are approximately 80 nucleotides in length. Their secondary structure includes four short double-helical elements and three loops (D, anti-codon, and T loops). Lineage: Bacteria; Bacillati; Bacillota. The record is from RNAcentral.